UAAAAGUCGUAACAAGGUCUCCGUUGGUGAACCAGCGGAGGGAUCAUUACCGAGUUUACAACUCCCAAACCCAAUGUGAACCAUACCAAACUGUUGCCUCGGCGGGGUCACGCCCCGGGUGCGUCGCAGCCCCGGAACCAGGCGCCCGCCGGAGGGACCAACCAAACUCUUUUCUGUAGUCCCCUCGCGGACGUUAUUUCUUACAGCUCUGAGCAAAAAUUCAAAAUGAAUCAAAACUUUCAACAACGGAUCUCUUGGUUCUGGCAUCGAUGAAGAACGCAGCGAAAUGCGAUAAGUAAUGUGAAUUGCAGAAUUCAGUGAAUCAUCGAAUCUUAGAACGCACAUUGCGCCCGCCAGUAUUGGAGCGGGCGGCAUAUCAAUAAGCGGGGGAAGUCCUGGUCAUUUAGAGGAAGUAACGGCAUAUCAAUAAGCGGAGGAAGUCUUGGUCAUUUAGAGGAAGUAACGGCAUAUCAAUAAGCGGAGGAAGUCUUGGUCAUUUAGAGGAAGUAACGGCAUAUCAAUAAG
This 525-nucleotide ribosomal RNA is filed under the name Trichoderma atroviride. Its description in RNAcentral is "eukaryotic LSU rRNA". The stretch from base 235 to 389 matches the Rfam family "5.8S ribosomal RNA". Lineage: Eukaryota; Fungi; Ascomycota; Sordariomycetes; Hypocreales; Hypocreaceae. The record is from RNAcentral.